This 35-nucleotide transfer RNA is filed under the name Brassica juncea (brown mustard). RNAcentral's name for it is "partial tRNA-His". The record is from RNAcentral. Lineage: Eukaryota; Viridiplantae; Streptophyta; Magnoliopsida; Brassicales; Brassicaceae. RNAcentral also lists the same sequence under 5 other names.
GGGGCGGAUGUAGCCAAGUGGAUUAAGGCAGUGGA